UCGCUUCAGCAGCAGGUAUACUAAAAAUAGGAUUGAUACAGAAAAGAUUAGCAUGACCCCUGUGCAAGGAUGACAUGAAAAUUCAUGAAGCGUUCCAUAAUUCU
This is a small nuclear RNA of Sorex fumeus (smoky shrew), 104 nucleotides long. Lineage: Eukaryota; Metazoa; Chordata; Mammalia; Eulipotyphla; Soricidae. The record is from RefSeq and is a predicted model, not a curated record.